RNAcentral lists this ribosomal RNA (482 nucleotides) under uncultured bacterium. RNAcentral describes it as "partial 16S ribosomal RNA". It matches the Rfam family "Bacterial small subunit ribosomal RNA", at positions 30 to 507 of the family's 1533-position model. The record is from RNAcentral.
AUUGAACGCUGGCGGCAUGCCUUACACAUGCAAGUCGAACGGUAACGGGCCUUCGGGUGCCGACGAGUGGCGAACGGGUGAGUAAUACAUCGGAACGUGCCCGAUCGUGGGGGAUAACGAGGCGAAAGCUUUGCUAAUACCGCAUACGAUCUACGGAUGAAAGCAGGGAACCGCAAGGCCUUGCGCGGACGGAGCGGCCGAUGGCAGAUUAGGUAGUUGGUGGGAUAAAAGCUUACCAAGCCGACGAUCUGUAGCUGGUCUGAGAGGAUGAUCAGCCACACUGGGACUGAGACACGGCCCAGACUCCUACGGGAGGCAGCAGUGGGGAAUUUUGGACAAUGGGCGCAAGCCUGAUCCAGCCAUGCCGCGUGCAGGAUGAAGGCCUUCGGGUUGUAAACUGCUUUUGUACGGAACGAAAAGCCUUCUUUUAAUACAGGAGGGUCAUGACGGUACCGUAAGAAUAAGCACCGGCUAACUACGUG